Molecule: ribosomal RNA, 405 nt
Filed under: uncultured bacterium
Lineage: Bacteria
Description: bacterial SSU rRNA
Rfam family: Bacterial small subunit ribosomal RNA
Source: RNAcentral
UGGGGAAUAUUGGGCAAUGGGGGGAACCCUGACCCAGCGACGCCGCGUGGGUGAAGAAAUCCUUCGGGAUGUAAAGCCCUGUUGUAUGGGAAGAGCGGAAGACGGUACCAUACGAGGAAGCCCCGGCAAACUACGUGCCAGCAGCCGCGGUAAUACGUAGGGGGCAAGCGUUGUCCGGAAUUACUGGGCGUAAAGCGCACGCAGGCUGAAUUAUAAGUCGGUAGCAAAAGGCGGGGGCUCAACUUCCGUAUAUCUAUCGAUACUGUAAAUCUAGAGUAUGUGAGAGGGAAGCGGAAUUCCCGGUGUAGCGGUGAAAUGCGUAAAUAUCGGGAGGAACACCAGUGGCGAAGGCGGCUUCCUGGCACAAUACUGACGCUCAUGUGCGAAAGCUAGGGCAGCGAACGG